UGCCACAGAGGGAAGAACCAAGCAACCAGCAGCAAUAGCACAUGGGUGGGGUUUAGACUAGGACCUUGCGCCUUGACUUCCUUGUUUUCCCUAGUCAUGAGUCACUCUUGGAAGGAUCUUUUAGAUGGUGGGGGGUGGGAGAUUGACUACCAAAUGAUGAUGAAGUGGCAGCUUAAAGGAAAUGGGUGAAGGGAAGGGUGUUGCUGAGUGGUGGUCGUUUGAUGCCAUCUGUUUUGUGUAUUUUUUUGUGGGGAAAAUUUUGGUCAAUUUCCCAUAAUACAUUUGAGGGUCUCUUGGGAAUUGUAUGGUGAUGGAGGAGGCGUGAGGAAAUGGGUCAUUUGAGAGAAGAAAAUCAAACAAAAAUGCAAGGCAUUCGAUUUCCAUC
Molecule: long non-coding RNA, 385 nt
Organism: Juglans microcarpa x Juglans regia
Lineage: Eukaryota; Viridiplantae; Streptophyta; Magnoliopsida; Fagales; Juglandaceae
Exons: 2
Source: RefSeq, a predicted model, not a curated record